UUCCAUGUUAAAGCUGUGUGAGCCACGUGAUGUGAACCCAAAGUCCCUGAUAUGAUGGGAUUCUGUGGCAGUGGAAAUAGGGGGCUGGCUUUCACUUCAUGACUGCUGUGGCUCACUUACUUAGUAGCAGGGCUGGCUGGCCUUGGCCCAGGAUUAUAGACAUCAGCAUCAUCAUCAUCAUUUUCAUCAUGUGAUGGAUUGUUGCUUCAGUGGUCAAGCAUAUUUUUGUGAACA
This 234-nucleotide long non-coding RNA is filed under the name Physcomitrium patens. RNAcentral's name for it is "long non-coding RNA (PPAT_LNC014147)". The record is from RNAcentral. Lineage: Eukaryota; Viridiplantae; Streptophyta; Bryopsida; Funariales; Funariaceae.